AUGCCCCUGUAUGAGACUUUAAAUAGAAGCAAAAACCGAAGAGACCUUCUGGCAACCUUGGUGGUGAUAUCUGAUCCUUUGGGGGCAGGUACAGGAUGGGAGAAGGGGAGCUUGAGUAGGUCAGGAGCCCAGAGGAGAGAUAGCAGCCACAAGUCAGGAGUGGUGAGAAUGGGGACGAUUGAACACAUUUGAGAAUUUUGUUUUUUAUUUUUAAUUAAAAAAAAAAUGUUAUGUUUGUUUUUGAGAGUGAGAGAGACAGAGCACAAGCGGGGGGAGGGGCAGAGAGAGAGGGAGACACAGGAUCCAAAGCAGGCCUCAGGCCCUAAACUGUCAGUGCAGAGCCGGAUGCGGGGCUCGAACCCGCGGACCGUGAGAUCAUGACCUGAGCUGAAGUCGGACACUCAACUGACGGAGCCACCCAGGCGCUGAAAAAUAUUUAAUUUUUUUUUUUUUUAAUGUGUAUUUAUUUUUGAGAGAGACAGGAAGAGACAGAGCACAAGCAGGGGAGGGGCAGAGAGAGAAGGAGACACAGAGUCUGAAGCAGCCUCCAGGCUCUGAGCUGUCGGCACAGAGCCCGACGCGGGGCUCGAACUCACGGACCGUGAGAUCACGACCUGAGCCGAAGUCGGACGCUCAACCAACGGAGCCACCCAGGCGCCCCACUGAGGAAUAUCUGAGAGGCUGCAUAGACAAACUCGGAGACCAAUGCCAUGUUGCAGAGACGGGAGGCGAUAGGAAUGAAGAGUGAAGCCGAGACCUGGGCUCAGGCACCUGGGUGGAUGGUGGCACCGUUCAUCAAAAUAGAGAAAACAGGUGAAGAAGCUGGUUGGGGCGUUGAUUCGCGAUAUUGGUGUUAGAAUAUGUUGAUACAGGAUUCCUACAGGACGAUAGCUUGGAGACCAUCGAGAUAUCCGUUUGUCUGAAUCUGUAGGGCCCGUGACCCUGGAGUAAAGCCUGGUGCCCGGGGUGUGUUGGCGGCUGUACAAGCACGUCUGGAAUCUGGCCCAGCAUCAGGCCGAGCGAGCACAGGGCCUUGCGUCGCUGCGUAUUGAAACUGACUUGUCAGGCCACGGAGCUACAGAGAAGAAAGGCUCUGGCCGAGGCAGGCAAGCAGGCGCCCCGCUCAAUAAUUCAGCACAGAGCCUGUCUUGGCUGCGGAGCUACCAUCACAAGGAGCGUUUUUAAAGCCAAA
This 1192-nucleotide long non-coding RNA is filed under the name Felis catus (domestic cat). Its description in RNAcentral is "lncRNA (ENSFCAG00000050797.1)". Lineage: Eukaryota; Metazoa; Chordata; Mammalia; Carnivora; Felidae. The record is from RNAcentral.